GUAGGACGAUAUGCACUUUUAUCC
RNAcentral lists this non-coding RNA (24 nucleotides) under Arabidopsis thaliana (thale cress). The record is from RNAcentral. Lineage: Eukaryota; Viridiplantae; Streptophyta; Magnoliopsida; Brassicales; Brassicaceae.